AUUGAACGCUGGCGGCAGGCUUAACACAUGCAAGUCGAGCGGAGAGAGGUAGCUUGCUACUGAUCUUAGCGGCGGACGGGUGAGUAAUGCUUAGGAAUCUGCCUAUUAGUGGGGGACAACAUUUCGAAAGGAAUGCUAAUACCGCAUACGUCCUACGGGAGAAAGCAGGGGAUCUUCGGACCUUGCGCUAAUAGAUGAGCCUAAGUCGGAUUAGCUAGUUGGUGGGGUGAAGGCCUACCAAGGCGACGAUCUGUAGCGGGUCUGAGAGGAUGAUCCGCCACACUGGGACUGAGACACGGCCCAGACUCCUACGGGAGGCAGCAGUGGGGAAUAUUGGACAAUGGGCGCAAGCCUGAUCCAGCCAUGCCGCGUGUGUGAAGAAGGCCUUAUGGUUGUAAAGCACUUUAAGCGAGGAGGAGGCUACUUUAGUCAAUACCUAGAGAUAGUGGACGUUACUCGCAGAAUAAGCACCGGCUAACUCUGUGCCAGCAGCCGCCGUAA
Molecule: ribosomal RNA, 501 nt
Filed under: uncultured bacterium
Lineage: Bacteria
Description: partial 16S ribosomal RNA
Rfam family: Bacterial small subunit ribosomal RNA
Source: RNAcentral